UGCGUAGGCGGGCAGGUAAGUUUGUGGUGAAAUCUCCAAGCUUAACUUGGAAACUGCCGUGGAUACUAUUUGUCUUGAAUAUAGUGGAGGUGAGCGGAAUAUGUCAUGUAGCGGUGAAAUGCUUAGAUAUGACAUAGAACACCCAUUGCGAAGGCAGCUCGCUACACUAUUAUUGACGCUGAGGCACGAAAGCGUGGGGAUCAAACA
This 207-nucleotide ribosomal RNA is filed under the name uncultured bacterium. Its description in RNAcentral is "partial 16S ribosomal RNA". It matches the Rfam family "Bacterial small subunit ribosomal RNA", at positions 568 to 774 of the family's 1533-position model. The record is from RNAcentral.